This 376-nucleotide long non-coding RNA is filed under the name Olea europaea (common olive). Its description in RNAcentral is "long non-coding RNA (OEUR_LNC005826)". The record is from RNAcentral. Lineage: Eukaryota; Viridiplantae; Streptophyta; Magnoliopsida; Lamiales; Oleaceae.
AAUUGAGUUCAAUUACAAACCAUGAACUAAGUAGUGACUUAUUUCUGCAAUCUCUGUCAGAGAAAGUUAUUCAUAACUAAUUAUGAAUUUAACGUGAAUAAGCUUGAAUGCACAAUUAUUGAGUUGCUUAAUAUGCUUAAGACUGUUAAGCCCAACAUCAAAGUUAGUAGUGGGCAAACCAUUGAUUCCUUUAAAGAUAUUAAGAGGAAGUCUAAAGGGGCUUUGUGAAAGCACCCAAUAUGGUUAAGACAGUAUAAGCGAAAGGACAAAUACCAAAUCUAAUGACCCUUGAUUUCAUUAUAGAAUGAGAGGUCAUUGGAAGGAAUAUUGUAUGACUUACGUCUACUUCACGAGUUUCUUAGGUAUAUGAUACCAG